UGUUUGGUUAUUGAUUUGAUUCGCAUUGAGUAUUUGCUGCGUUUGGCACGCGAUUGUGCAUUAACUGCUGAUUCAGACGUUAUUGAAAGAACGAGUUUGAACUUUGCCUGGAUUCUGAGGUUGACUUGGAGUUAUUGUGAGAAAUGAUCUAGCGUGUGAGACGAGGAACCCGUAGCUAUUAGCUUCUUGAAGCUAUAACUAUAUCCUUCUUAGUAAAUGUGAAAAACUACGUCUGGAGUUGUAGAUUUUAGUACCAUUAUUUGGGAUAUUGAGAAGACUAAGCUCCAUCUUAUAUGAUAGCUGAAAAUAUUUGAUAGUAAUUAGCUACUGUUACCGAGAAUUUCUUGUGGUUGUUUCUAGGAACUCUAACGUUGUACUGUUAUGAUGUGUCUGUCAUUAAAUGUGCCCCUGAAAGAGUUUUUCAGCACAGCAAACUUCCUUUUUUUUUUUAAAGAAACGGUGAUAAUCCAUAAACUGCAUAAUCUGUUUAUUUAUUUUUAAAUUUUAUUUUAUUAUUUAUGCAGUUGGAAACGCUCCUAAGUAGAAUUCCUGUUAAUGGCAUUGAUUUCUCACUUUACUCCUGAGAUUAUUUUUUAAGUAAUGUGAUUUUUUGACCUGUCAGUUUCGGCAAUGCACCGCGUGGGUAGUGCUGGUAAUGGAAACAAUUCAACUCGUCCUCGC
This 681-nucleotide long non-coding RNA is filed under the name Vigna radiata. RNAcentral describes it as "long non-coding RNA (VRAD_LNC010603)". Lineage: Eukaryota; Viridiplantae; Streptophyta; Magnoliopsida; Fabales; Fabaceae. The record is from RNAcentral.